UAACCUAUGGACGGAAAUACCCUCGGGAAACUGAGUAUCCUGCCCAAAAAAACAUUAUGCCGGGAAUGGUUUAUGUUCAAAAUGAUUUACCGCCGAAGGAGGGGACGGCGGCCUAUCAUUUUGUGGGGGAGGUAAGGCCCCACCAAAAUAAUUACAGGUACGGGUUCUAAAAGAAGUACCCCGAAGAUGGUUACUGAAACACGAACCCCGGCCCUAGGGGGCGCAGCAGGAAAAAAAAUUUUGCAAGGUGCAAAACCACAACAAGGUUAAUCCGAGUGUUUCCUGCUAAAGGAACUUUUUGUCGGUCCAAAAACCACCAAUAAAUAAGGGGUGGGCAAUUUCUGGUGUCACCCGCCGCGAAAAAACCACCACCUCAGGUGGUCAGGAUGAUUAUGGGGCCUAAACCAUCCGUAGCCGGUUUUGUUAUUUUUCGGUUAAAUCUGUACCCUCAA
Molecule: ribosomal RNA, 452 nt
Filed under: uncultured archaeon
Lineage: Archaea
Description: partial 16S ribosomal RNA
Rfam family: Archaeal small subunit ribosomal RNA
Source: RNAcentral